RNAcentral lists this ribosomal RNA (799 nucleotides) under Escherichia coli. Its description in RNAcentral is "partial 23S ribosomal RNA". It matches the Rfam family "Bacterial large subunit ribosomal RNA", at positions 600 to 1399 of the family's 2925-position model. The record is from RNAcentral. Lineage: Bacteria; Pseudomonadati; Pseudomonadota; Gammaproteobacteria; Enterobacterales; Enterobacteriaceae.
CGUACCUUUUGUAUAAUGGGUCAGCGACUUAUAUUCUGUAGCAAGGUUAACCGAAUAGGGGAGCCGAAGGGAAACCGAGUCUUAACUGGGCGUUAAGUUGCAGGGUAUAGACCCGAAACCCGGUGAUCUAGCCAUGGGCAGGUUGAAGGUUGGGUAACACUAACUGGAGGACCGAACCGACUAAUGUUGAAAAAUUAGCGGAUGACUUGUGGCUGGGGGUGAAAGGCCAAUCAAACCGGGAGAUAGCUGGUUCUCCCCGAAAGCUAUUUAGGUAGCGCCUCGUGAAUUCAUCUCCGGGGGUAGAGCACUGUUUCGGCAAGGGGGUCAUCCCGACUUACCAACCCGAUGCAAACUGCGAAUACCGGAGAAUGUUAUCACGGGAGACACACGGCGGGUGCUAACGUCCGUCGUGAAGAGGGAAACAACCCAGACCGCCAGCUAAGGUCCCAAAGUCAUGGUUAAGUGGGAAACGAUGUGGGAAGGCCCAGACAGCCAGGAUGUUGGCUUAGAAGCAGCCAUCAUUUAAAGAAAGCGUAAUAGCUCACUGGUCGAGUCGGCCUGCGCGGAAGAUGUAACGGGGCUAAACCAUGCACCGAAGCUGCGGCAGCGACACUAUGUGUUGUUGGGUAGGGGAGCGUUCUGUAAGCCUGUGAAGGUGUGCUGUGAGGCAUGCUGGAGGUAUCAGAAGUGCGAAUGCUGACAUAAGUAACGAUAAAGCGGGUGAAAAGCCCGCUCGCCGGAAGACCAAGGGUUCCUGUCCAACGUUAAUCGGGGCAGGGUGAGUCGACCCCUAAGGCGA